Molecule: ribosomal RNA, 230 nt
Filed under: uncultured bacterium
Lineage: Bacteria
Description: partial 16S ribosomal RNA
Rfam family: Bacterial small subunit ribosomal RNA
Source: RNAcentral
GAUAAACGCUGGCGGCGUGCCUAAUACAUGCAAGUCGAGCGGUAAGGCUCUGCACAGGUUUAUUUUGAUCGAGAUUUUAUUCUUUACGUUUUCCUCCGGCUAGAGGAAGCAAAAAGAUCGAAUAAUGUGCGUAGAGUACACGAGCGGCGGACGGCUGAGUAAAGCGUAGGAACAUACCCCAAAGUGAGGAUAAGCACCAGAAAUGGUGUCUAAUACCGCAUAUGGUCUUC